Molecule: ribosomal RNA, 484 nt
Filed under: uncultured bacterium
Lineage: Bacteria
Description: partial 16S ribosomal RNA
Rfam family: Bacterial small subunit ribosomal RNA
Source: RNAcentral
AUUGAACGCUGGCGGCAGGCCUAACAAAUGCAAGAUGAGCGGAUGAAGGGAGCUUGUUCCUGGAUUCAGCGGCGGACGGGUGAGUAAUGCCUAGGAAUCUGCCUGGUAGUGGGGGCUAACGUCCGGAAACGGGCGCUAAUACCGCAUACGUCCGGAGGGAGAAAGUGGGGGAUCUUCGGACCUCACGCUAUCAGAUGAGCCUAGGUCGGAUUAGCUAGUUGGUGGGGUAAAGGCCUACCAAGGGGACGAUCCGUAACUGGUCUGAGAGGAUGAUCAGGCACCUUGGCACUCCGACACGUCCCACACUCCUACGGGAGGCACCAGUCUGGAAUCUUGGCCCUAGGGCGAAAUCCUAAUCCAGCCAUGCCUCGUCUGUGAAGAAGCUCUUCGGAUUGUUAAGCAGUUGUAGUUGGGGGGAACGGCAGUAAGUUAAAGCCUGUCUUUUUUCACGUUACCAACUGAAUAAUCACCGUCUAACUACGUG